RNAcentral lists this ribosomal RNA (469 nucleotides) under uncultured organism. RNAcentral's name for it is "bacterial SSU rRNA". It matches the Rfam family "Bacterial small subunit ribosomal RNA", at positions 28 to 507 of the family's 1533-position model. The record is from RNAcentral.
GACGAACGCUGGCGGCGCGCCUAAGACAUGCAAGUCGAGCGGAGUGCAACUCAUAUUUAAUAUGAGUUGCACUUAGCGGCGGACGGGUGAGUAACGCGUGGGUAACCUGCCCCUCAGCCCGGGAUAACCGUCGGAAACGAUGGCUAAUACCGGAUGCUGUAUACAUAUCGCAUGAUGUGUAUACGAAAGUUCAGGCGCUGAGGGAUGGGCCCGCGUCCCAUUAGCUAGUUGGUGAGGUAACGGCUCACCAAGGCGACGAUGGGUAGCCGGCCUGAGAGGGUGACCGGCCACACUGGGACUGAGACACGGCCCAGACUCCUACGGGAGGCAGCAGUCGGGGAUCUUCCACAAUGGGCGAAAGCCUGAUGGAGCGACGCCGCGUGAGGGAUGAAGGUCUUCGGAUCGUAAACCUCUGUCUUCCGGGACGACAAUGACGGUACCGGAGGAGGAAGCCACGGCUAACUACGUG